CAUGAUCGAAGCUUGCUUUGAUUGAUGGCGACCGGCGCACGGGUGAGUAACGCGUAUCCAACCUUCCCUGUAGUAGAGGAUAGCCCGGCGAAAGUCGGAUUAAUACUCUAUGUUGUAUUUAGAAGACAUCUGAAGAAUACCAAAGGUUUACCGCUAUAGGAUGGGGAUGCGUCUGAUUAGGUUGUUGGCGGGGUAACGGCCCACCAAGCCCACGAUCAGUAGGGGUUCUGAGAGGAAGGUCCCCCACAUUGGAACUGAGACACGGUCCAAACUCCUACGGGAGGCAGCAGUGAGGAAUAUUGGUCAAUGGACGAGAGUCUGAACCAGCCAAGUAGCGUGCAGGAUGACGGCCCUAUGGGUUGUAAACUGCUUUUAUAUAGGGAUAAAGUGCACUACGUGUAGUGUUUUGUAGGUACUAUAUGAAUAAGGACCGGCUAAUUCCGUGCCAGCAGCCGCGGUAAUACGGAAGGUCCGGGCGUUAUCCGGAUUUAUUGCGUUUAAAGGGAGCGC
This 510-nucleotide ribosomal RNA is filed under the name uncultured rumen bacterium. RNAcentral's name for it is "bacterial SSU rRNA". It matches the Rfam family "Bacterial small subunit ribosomal RNA", at positions 70 to 572 of the family's 1533-position model. The record is from RNAcentral.